Molecule: transfer RNA, 64 nt
Filed under: Sabethes tarsopus
Lineage: Eukaryota; Metazoa; Arthropoda; Insecta; Diptera; Culicidae
Description: tRNA-Arg
Source: RNAcentral
AAAUAAGAAGCGAUAAAUUGCAAUUAGUUUCGACCUAAUCUUAGGUGAAAAUCACCCUUAUUUU